UAAUACGGAGGAUGCGAGCGUUAUCCGGAUUCAUUGGGUUUAAAGGGUGCGUAGGCGGACUAUUAAGUCAGUGGUGAAAUCCUGCAGCUUAACUGCAGAACUGCCAUUGAUACUGAUAGCCUUGAGUUUGGUUAAGGUAGGCGGAAUGUGUAAUGUAGCGGUGAAAUGCUUAGAUAUUACACAGAACACCAAUUGCGUAGGCAGCUUACUGAGCCGACACUGACGCUGAGGCACGAAAGCGUGGGGAUCGAACAGG
RNAcentral lists this ribosomal RNA (256 nucleotides) under uncultured bacterium. RNAcentral's name for it is "partial 16S ribosomal RNA". It matches the Rfam family "Bacterial small subunit ribosomal RNA", at positions 521 to 776 of the family's 1533-position model. The record is from RNAcentral.